This 69-nucleotide transfer RNA is filed under the name Prosopocoilus laterotarsus. RNAcentral describes it as "tRNA-Gln". Lineage: Eukaryota; Metazoa; Arthropoda; Insecta; Coleoptera; Lucanidae. The record is from RNAcentral. RNAcentral also lists the same sequence under 1 other name.
UACAUUUUAGUAUAAGAGGUACAGGGGCCUUUGAAGUUCCUAGUGGCAGUUUGAUUCUGCCAAGUGUAA